This 390-nucleotide ribosomal RNA is filed under the name uncultured bacterium. RNAcentral describes it as "bacterial SSU rRNA". It matches the Rfam family "Bacterial small subunit ribosomal RNA", at positions 893 to 1281 of the family's 1533-position model. The record is from RNAcentral.
UCUAAAACUCAAAGGAAUUGACGGGGGCCCGCACAAGCGGUGGAGCAUGUGGUUUAAUUCGACGCAACGCGCAGAACCUUACCAGCCCUUGACAUGUCCAGGACCGGUCGCAGAGAUGUGACCUUCUCUUCGGAGCCUGGAGCACAGGUGCUGCGUGGCUGUCGUCAGCUCGUGUCGUGAGAUGUUGGGUUAAGUCCCGCAACGAGCGCAACCCCCGUCCUUAGUUGCUACCAUUCAGUCGAGCACUCUAAGGAGACUGCCGGUGAUAAGCCGCGAGGAAGGUGGGGAUGACGUCAAGUCCUCAUGGCCCUUACGGGCUGGGCUACACACGUGCUACAAUGGCGGUGACAAUGGGAUGCAAAAGGGCAACCUCUAGCAAAUCUCAAAAAA